GGGGAACAAAGCAGUUCCACCUAAUGGCAGCCCGGCUAAAGUUCCAGUGAGCCCUGCGUUGCCUCCCCCAGCCCUGGGCAGGGGCUGGACGGGGAGAGCCCAUGAGAGAGCAAGGAUUCCUAGCCGCCGCCCUGGGAACCCUGCCACGCGAGGCUGGGCUGGUGGCCGUCUCCACGCUUUCCGGAACAGACGCCGCUCACUUCCCGGCUCCCGACGAGCCCAGCGGCGGUGCGGUGGCCUGUCCCCGGCUGACUUCCAGGGGGGCUUGGGCAGGAGUGAAGCGGCAGCGCCGUGAGCCGCCCCCAGGCUCGCUGAUGUCCCCCAGCGCUGCUGGCCUGGCCCACUGGGGUGGAUGGAAAGCUACUCCAGGGAGAAGUCGGAUUCUUAAAGGCCUGCUGGACGACAGGUACCCCGGACCCCACAGCCAGAUGCCUGCCAACCUGCAGAGGAGGUGGCAGUCUGCAGCCCCGGCACAGGGCUUCCUCCACCUGAGGCCACCCCUGCAGGCCG
RNAcentral lists this long non-coding RNA (510 nucleotides) under Heterocephalus glaber (naked mole-rat). RNAcentral's name for it is "lncRNA (ENSHGLG00000032228.1)". Lineage: Eukaryota; Metazoa; Chordata; Mammalia; Rodentia; Bathyergidae. The record is from RNAcentral.